RNAcentral lists this long non-coding RNA (237 nucleotides) under Manihot esculenta (cassava). RNAcentral's name for it is "long non-coding RNA (MESC_LNC011031)". Lineage: Eukaryota; Viridiplantae; Streptophyta; Magnoliopsida; Malpighiales; Euphorbiaceae. The record is from RNAcentral.
UUCACGCAUCAUGAAUGCCAUGAGAUAUAAUAGGGUGCUUGCAUUAGAACUCAUGAAUAUGUUGCAUUGCAUAAUAUGUUGAUGAUGCGGAUGAAUGUUGAAUGAUCCUUUAGUCCUCAUAUGUUAUGAUAUGAUGAUGAUACGGUACGGAAGACCAGUGAGGCCCAUUCUACGCCCCUGGCACAGUUGGACCAUGUAGAGGACUAUUGGUGACAAAUUCAUCCUUGAUGUGAUUAG